This 1413-nucleotide ribosomal RNA is filed under the name metagenome. RNAcentral's name for it is "bacterial LSU rRNA". It matches the Rfam family "Bacterial large subunit ribosomal RNA", at positions 1463 to 2874 of the family's 2925-position model. The record is from RNAcentral.
GGGGGGGUGACGGAGAAACGUAAGGAUUGCGAACUGACGGAAUAGUUCGUUGAAGUGUGUAGGCGUUGAUAGUGUAGGUAAAUCCGCAUUAGAGCUGAAUCACGAUAGUACAGGGAUCUGCUUGCAGAUGCCUGAUAAUGUCCCCAAGUAUGCUUCCAAGAAAAACCUCUAAGCAUCAGGUAUAUACAGCCCGUACCGUAAACCGACACAGGUAGUCGAGGAGAGUAUCCUAAGGCGCUCGAGUGAAUCAUGGCUAAGGAAUUAGGCAAAAUGGCCUCGUAACUUCGGGAGAAGAGGCGCUCCGUGUAAAAAUGGAGCCGCAGUGAAAAGGCCCAGGCGACUGUUUAGCAAAAACACAGGACUCUGCGAAAUCGUAAGAUGAAGUAUAGGGUCUGACACCUGCCCGGUGCUGGAAGGUUAAGGAAGGGGCUUAGUGCGCGAGUGCGAAGGUCUUGACUGAAGCCCCAGUAAACGGCGGCCGUAACAAUAACGGUCCUAAGGUAGCGAAAUUCCUUGUCGGGUAAGUUCCGACCUGCACGAAUGGUGUAACGAUCUGGGCACUGUCUCAGCCAUGAGCUCGGUGAAAUUGAAGUAUCGGUGAAGAUGCCGGUUACCCGCAGUGGGACGAAAAGACCCCGUGCACCUUUACUAUAGCUUCACAUUGAGCUUGAGUAUAAGAUGUGUAGGAUAGGUGGGAGACGUUGAAGGGUUCACGCUAGUGGGUCUGGAGUCGCCGUUGAAAUACCACCCUUCUUAUACUUAGGUUCUAAUCCCGUUGAAGACGGGAGACAUUGUGUGGUGGGUAGUUUGACUGGGGUGGUCGCCUCCAAAAGAGUAACGGAGGCUUGCAAAGGUUCCCUCAGCAUGGUCGGUAAUCAUGCGUAGAGCGUAUUAGUAAAAGGGAGCUUGACUGAGAGACCGACGGGUCGAACAGGUAGGAAACUAGGCUAAAGUGAUCCGGUGGUUCCGUAUGGAAGGGCCAUCGCUCAAAGGGUAAAAGGUACGCCGGGGAUAACAGGCUUAUCUCCCCCAAGAGCUCACAUCGACGGGGAGGUUUGGCACCUCGAUGUCGGCUCGUCACAUCCUGGGGCUGGAGAAGGUCCCAAGGGUUGGGCUGUUCGCCCAUUAAAGUGGCACGCGAGCUGGGUUCAGAACGUCGCAAGACAGUUCGGUCUCUAUCUACUGUGGGCGUAGGAAUAUUGAGAAGAUCUGACACUAGUACGAGAGGACCGUGUUGGACAAACCUCUAGUGUACCAGUUAUGCCGCCAGGUGUACCGCUGGGUAGCUAAGUUUGGAACGGAUAAGCGCUGAAAGCAUCUAAGCGCGAAGCCAACUUCAAGAUGAGUAUUCCAUUGUCUUCGGACUAAAAGGGUUGUUGCAGAUGACGACGUUGAUAGGCUAUAGGUGGAAGU